RNAcentral lists this ribosomal RNA (372 nucleotides) under uncultured organism. RNAcentral's name for it is "bacterial SSU rRNA". It matches the Rfam family "Bacterial small subunit ribosomal RNA", at positions 45 to 433 of the family's 1533-position model. The record is from RNAcentral.
CGCUUAACACAUGCAAGUCGCACGAGAAAGCCCGCAAGGGUGAGUAAAGUGGCGUACGGGUGAGUAACACGUGGGUAAUCUACCUCUUAGUGGGGAAUAACCCUGGGAAACCGGGGCUAAUACCGCAUAAGCUCGUGAGAGGAAAGCAGCAAUGCGCUGAGAGAGGAGCCCGCGGUCGAUUAGCUAGUUGGUAGGGUAAGAGCCUACCAAGGCUACGAUCGAUAGCCGGCCUGAGAGGGCACACGGCCACACUGGCACUGAAACACGGGCCAGACUCCUACGGGAGGCAGCAGUGGGGAAUCUUGCACAAUGGGGGAAACCCUGAUGCAGCGACGCCGCGUGAGCGAUGAAGCCCUUCGGGGUGUAAAGCUC